AGACGUCUACAUUAGAUACCCCUGUAGUCCCAGCCGUAAACUAUGCGCGUUAGGUGUAUCGGUGACCACGAGUCACCGAGGUGCCGAAGGGAAACCGUGAAACGUGCCGCCUGGGAAGUACGGUCGCAAGGCUGAACUUAAAGGAAUUGGCGGGGAGCACCACAACCGGGUGGAGCCUUGCGGUUUAAUUGGACUCAACGCCGGGAAGCUCACCGGAUUAAGACUAGCGGAAUGAUUGCCGGGCUGAAGACUCUGCAUGACUAGCUG
RNAcentral lists this ribosomal RNA (267 nucleotides) under uncultured archaeon. RNAcentral describes it as "partial 16S ribosomal RNA". It matches the Rfam family "Archaeal small subunit ribosomal RNA", at positions 714 to 982 of the family's 1478-position model. The record is from RNAcentral.